UGGGGAAUAUUGCACAAUGGGGGAAACCCUGAUGCAGCGACGCCGCGUGAACGAAGAAGGUAUUCGUAUCGUAAAGUUCUGUCCUAUGGGAAGAUAAUGACAGUACCAUAGAAGAAAGCUCCGGCUAAAUACGUGCCAGCAGCCGCGGUAAUACGUAUGGAGCGAGCGUUGUCCGGAAUUAUUGGGCGUAAAGGGUACUCAGGCGGUUUAAUAAGUCGAAUGUUAAAGAUCGGGGCUCAACCCCGCAAAGCAUUGGAAACUGAUAAACUUGAGUAGUGGAGAGGAAAGUGGAAUUCCUAGUGUAGUGGCGAAAUACGUAGAUAUUAGGAGGAAUACCAGUAGCGAAGGCGACUUUCUGGACACAAACUGACGCUGAGGUACGAAAGCGUGGGGAGCAAACAGG
This 403-nucleotide ribosomal RNA is filed under the name bacterium. RNAcentral's name for it is "partial 16S ribosomal RNA". It matches the Rfam family "Bacterial small subunit ribosomal RNA", at positions 355 to 776 of the family's 1533-position model. The record is from RNAcentral.